CGUCUAUAUACGUAUAGCAUAUCAAUAAGCGGAGGAAAAGAAACUAACUAGGAUUCCCUCAGUAACGGCGAGUGAGGCGGGAAGAGCUCAAAUUUGAAAUCUUCAAGGUUCUACCUUGACGAAUUGUAGUUUAAAGAAGUGUUUUCUGUUGGAGUUUUGGUAAAAGUUCUUUGGAAUAGGACAUCAUAGAGGGUGAGAAUCCCGUAUUUGACCAUUAUUUCCAACUUUGUGAUACACUUUCAAAGAGUCGGAUUGUUUGGGAAUGCAGUCCAAAAUGGGUGGUAAAUUUCAUCUAAAGCUAAAUACUGGCGAGAGACCGAUAGCGAACAAGUACCGUGAGGGAAAGAUGAAAAGAACUUUGAAAAGAGAGUUAAACAGUACGUGAAAUUGUCAAAAGGGAAGCGUUUGACACCAGUGUUGUUUUCUCGAAAAUCAAUUAAAAAUGCAUGGAUUUUGUGUUGUAUUGACUUUAUCAGCUUUCUGCACUUUUUUCUUGUCUUUUUUAAUGCACUUUUCGUUUAACAAGUCAACAUCAAUUUCUUUUGCUGUAAAAGGGUCAUUGGAAGGUGGCUUUCUUUUCGGAGAAAGUGUUUAUAGCCUUUGACUUCUGCAGUCGGAGAGAUUGAGGUCUGCAGCGUAGAUCCUUUGGGGUUAGAUGCAUUUGUGCUAAGUUAUAGCCUUUCAUAGACAACUUGUUGACUAUGAUCAGUCAUGUAGCUUACUCGCUUAUGUCAUUUUACCUACGCUUAGGAUGUUGACGAUCAGCUGAGCGCG
RNAcentral lists this ribosomal RNA (774 nucleotides) under uncultured Neocallimastigales. RNAcentral's name for it is "partial large subunit ribosomal RNA". It matches the Rfam family "Eukaryotic large subunit ribosomal RNA", at positions 26 to 627 of the family's 3401-position model. Lineage: Eukaryota; Fungi; Neocallimastigomycota; Neocallimastigomycetes; Neocallimastigales. The record is from RNAcentral.